CAGCCGCCGCGGUAAUACGUAGGUGGCAAGCGUUGUCCGGAAUUAUUGGGCGUAAAGGGCUCGCAGGCGGUUUCUUAAGUCUGACGUGAAAGCCCCCGGCUCAACCGGGGAGGGUCAUUGGAAACUGGGAAACUUGAGUGCAGAAGAGGAGAGUGGAAUUCCACGUGUAGCGGUGAAAUGCGUAGAGAUGUGGAGGAACACCAGUGGCGAAGGCGACCCUCUGGUCUGUAACUGACGCUGAGGAGCGAAAGCGGGGGGAGCGAACAGGAUUAGAUACCCCAGUAGUCCCUGUCUCUUAUAC
This 301-nucleotide ribosomal RNA is filed under the name uncultured bacterium. Its description in RNAcentral is "partial 16S ribosomal RNA". It matches the Rfam family "Bacterial small subunit ribosomal RNA", at positions 509 to 807 of the family's 1533-position model. The record is from RNAcentral.